UAGGGGAUAUUGCAAAAUGGGCGAAAGCCCGAUGCAGCAACGCCGCGUGGGCGAUGAAGGCCUUCGGGUCGUAAAGCCCUUUUUGAGGGGAUGAGGAAGGACAGUACCCUCAGAAUAAGCCUCGGCUAACUACGUGCCAGCAGCCGCGGUAAAACGUAGGAGGCGAGCGUUAUCCGGAUUUACUGGGCGUAAAGCGCGUGCAGGCGGAUUGGAGAGUUGGAUGUGAAAGCUCCCGGCUUAACUGGGAGAGGUCGUUCAAUACUUCCAGUCUUGAGUGCAGUAGAGGGAAGUGGAAUUCCGGGUGUAGUGGUGAAAUGCGUAGAUAUCCGGAGGAACACCAGUGGCGAAAGCGGCUUCCUGGACUGUAACUGACGCUCAGACGCGAAAGCUAGGGUAGCAAACG
This 403-nucleotide ribosomal RNA is filed under the name uncultured bacterium. RNAcentral describes it as "bacterial SSU rRNA". It matches the Rfam family "Bacterial small subunit ribosomal RNA", at positions 355 to 774 of the family's 1533-position model. The record is from RNAcentral.